This 793-nucleotide ribosomal RNA is filed under the name uncultured eukaryote. RNAcentral describes it as "SSU rRNA". It matches the Rfam family "Eukaryotic small subunit ribosomal RNA", at positions 226 to 1019 of the family's 1831-position model. The record is from RNAcentral.
ACNCACAUUGUGGAGCUUUGGUGAUUCAUAGUAACCGAACGGAUCGCAAUUGGCUUCGGCCCGCGAUAGAUCAUUCAAGUUUCUGACCUAUCAGCUUUCGACGGUAGGGUAUUGGCCUACCGUGGCAGUGACGGGUAACGGGGAAUUAGGGUUCGAUUCCGGAGAGGGAGCNUGAGAAACGGCUACCACAUCUAAGGAAGGCAGCAGGCGCGCAAAUUACCCAAUGAAAACAGUUUCGAGGUAGUGACGAGAAAUAACAAUACAGGGCAUUUAUUGCUUUGUAAUUGGAAUGAUGGGAAUGUAAAACCCUUUCAGAGUAACAAUUGGAGGGCAAGUCUGGUGCCAGCAGCCGCGGUAAUUCCAGCUCCAAUAGCGUAUAUUAGAGUUGUUGCAGUUAAAAAGCUCGUAGUUGGAUUUUUGUCGGUGUCGUCCGGUUCCGCCUGUAUAGGUGUGCACCAGGAUUGGCUUCGGCAUUCUUCCGUAGCUUAAACCCGCUUCAUUGCGUGGUUUGGGUGUUUCGGAACUUUUACUUUGAGAAAAAUAGAGUGUUUCAAGCAGGCUUGUCGCCUUGAAUACUGCAGCAUGGAAUAAUAAGAUAGGACCUUGGUCCUAUUUUGUUGGUUUCUAGGACUAAGGUAAUGAUUAAUAGGGACAGUUGGGGGCAUUCGUAUUUAACUGUCAGAGGUGAAAUUCUUAGAUUUGUUAAAGACGAACUACUGCGAAAGCAUUUGCCAAGGAUGUUUUCAUUAAUCAAGAACGACAGUAGGGGGUUUAAAGACGAUCAGAUACCGUC